This 73-nucleotide transfer RNA is filed under the name Felis catus (domestic cat). It matches the Rfam family "tRNA". Rfam says of the family: Transfer RNA (tRNA) molecules are approximately 80 nucleotides in length. Their secondary structure includes four short double-helical elements and three loops (D, anti-codon, and T loops). Further hydrogen bonds mediate the characteristic L-shaped molecular structure. tRNAs have two regions of fundamental functional importance: the anti-codon, which is responsible for specific mRNA codon recognition, and the 3' end, to which the tRNAs corresponding amino acid is attached (by aminoacyl-tRNA synthetases). tRNAs cope with the degeneracy of the genetic code in two manners: having more than one tRNA (with a specific anti-codon) for a particular amino acid; and 'wobble' base-pairing, i.e. permitting non-standard base-pairing at the 3rd anti-codon position. RNAcentral also lists the same sequence under 2 other names. Lineage: Eukaryota; Metazoa; Chordata; Mammalia; Carnivora; Felidae. The record is from Rfam by way of RNAcentral.
ACCUGGCUGGCUUAAUCAGUAAAGCGUGCAACUCAUGAUCUUGGGGUUGUGAGUUCAAGCCCCAUGUUAGGUG